GACGAACGCUGGCGGCGUGCUUAACACAUGCAAGUCGAACGGAAAGGCCCUGCUUUUGUGGGGUGCUCGAGUGGCGAACGGGUGAGUAACACGUGAGUAACCUGCCCUUGACUUUGGGAUAACUUCAGGAAACUGGGGCUAAUACCGGAUAGGAGCUCCUGCUGCAUGGUGGGGGUUGGAAAGUUUCGGCGGUUGGGGAUGGACUCGCGGCUUAUCAGCCUGUUGGUGGGGUAGUGGCUUACCAAGGGUUUGACGGGUAGCCGGCCUGAGAGGGUUGCCGGCGACAUUGGGACUGAGAUACGGACCAGACUCCUACGGGAGGCAGCGGGGGGGAAUAUUGCGGAGUGGGCGGAAGUCUGAUGCAGCAACGCCGCGUGCGGGAUGACGGCCUUCGGGUUGUAAACCGCUUUCGCAUGUGACGAAGCGGGAGUGACGGUAAUGGGUAAAGAAGCACCGGCUAACUACGUG
Molecule: ribosomal RNA, 468 nt
Filed under: uncultured bacterium
Lineage: Bacteria
Description: partial 16S ribosomal RNA
Rfam family: Bacterial small subunit ribosomal RNA
Source: RNAcentral